CCGUUGGUUUCGACCAUGAGGGUUCAAUUCCCUCUAUCCCCA
This 42-nucleotide transfer RNA is filed under the name Antrophyum formosanum. RNAcentral describes it as "partial tRNA-Leu". Lineage: Eukaryota; Viridiplantae; Streptophyta; Polypodiopsida; Polypodiales; Pteridaceae. The record is from RNAcentral. RNAcentral also lists the same sequence under 1 other name.